UAAACUUAUUUUAAGAAAAGAUAAAAACGAAGUCAAAUCGGGUCGAGUAACCGUUAAGAACGGCAUAUAUAGCUAAGCCCGUAAGUUAGCUCCAUCUAUCCACCGCCAGGGCGGCCAGUUUGGUAGGGGGACUAAUCGAGACACGAACCGUCAAAAAGUGUAUUUCCUAAAGUCGCCGAUGGACGGAAAUGUGGCGCUGGUGUAAUCUAGGUAGCCGACCAUCGGGUAAAAGGCGGUCGAAAGUUUUAAUGCGAAUUAUCGGUGGUCCUAGCGCCAGUGGUAGGACAGCGGAGGAAGUUGGGAAAGACGGCUCGGCUCCGAAUGCGUCUGACGGGCAGCCCGAUGGGCCGAGUUGUUUUACGUUUUCGCCGAUCGACGCUGUUGGCAGUAGCUAACCCCUGACUAGCCGCCUAAAGACCCGCUAUGGGUUAGGCGUGCAAAUCCACCAUCGGCGAGUCG
RNAcentral lists this long non-coding RNA (459 nucleotides) under Androctonus crassicauda. Lineage: Eukaryota; Metazoa; Arthropoda; Arachnida; Scorpiones; Buthidae. The record is from RNAcentral.